GGAUGAUGCUACUGAUCAGAAAGAUAUUAAUCUCACACGAAGUUCCUUCUCUUCAAAUGUCCAACGUUUGACCAAUCCAGCACAAAGAAUGAUGAUGCUAGUUGCUAGCAUAGAUCUACUUUAUCAGACUGAACAAUUUUUCAGUUGUUAAUCUCUGAAAAUGCAGAAUGCUUGUUCUGAAACAUAGAACUUGUGUGGUGUUGCUCCGUACAGGAAUUGCUUGUAUGCAUUCCUAAAUAGUGGACAGGUGGUAGCUAGACUGAAGCUCGCUUGUGAAACAUCAGUCAUAAACAUGUAGACGACCAUGGUUUAACCAGUGAAGGGGCUAAAAUUCAGUAGCCCAAAUUAGGAUUACACUUGACCUUUUCUAUAGAGAAACCUAGGUACUGUAGUAGCAUGUGUUUAGGUGGUAGAAACUAGGGUUCUACCCGAUCUAGGGCGUAGCCUGUAAGGAAAGGAGGGAGGAGGUCGGAGGAGAUUGCGCGGCGGCCGGCGGCUGGGCGCCGUCCUUGCGGCUGGUGCGACGGCGGCGGACGCAAGAGGCGGCUAGGGUUUAGGUCUCCCGGCUCCCUAAGGGAAGCUGAGCAAAUAUUGAUUGCUUCUUACUUGAUUAGAUUGAUACAUCUCCUCUCCUUAUAUAGAGAGGUUUACUUGACUCCUAAGCAAACGAUCCUAAUACGAUAAGAUAAUUGGGCUAAGCCCCUAAUAAUGAUUAAGAUACUUGGGCCAUAACCCACUUGGCUAAGCCCCUAAUAUGCUGGUCAUAACACUUCUCCCCGCCUGCACAAACAGCUCGUCCUCGAGCUGUAAGGUGGGGAAGCGCUUGCUGAACUCCUCGAGGUGAUCAACCAGCGUCAAACACCUUCGCGACAGUUGGGGCGGCAAGGUCGGCAGCGACGACGUCCUCCGGAAUGUAGUCUGCAACCUCCAGGUAGAAGAGUCGUGGGCAGGCGUGGCCGGGCGUGUAGGGCUCGUCGCAGUUGAAGCACAACCCUUGGCGGCGACGCUCGAGUAGCUCGACUGAGGUGAGCCAGUGGAACGGGCGUGCCGCGGUCGCGGCGAGGGGUGCCGCAGAAGCCUGAGCAGGCCGACCCAGUGGCCCGGGACGGUGACUCCUGCUGGACGGCCACCGCGCGGCGCUCGAACGCGCGGGCGUAGUACAUGGCCGUCUGGAGAUCUUGGGGUCCCUGAAGCUCCACGUCCACGCGAAUGUGAUCCGGAAGUCCACCGACAAAGAGGUCGGCCCGCUGCUGCACCGUCACGCCCGACGCGUGGCUUGCCAGGGCCUGGAAAUGGUUGGCGAAGUCCUGAACCGUGGAGGUGAAGGGAAGGCGGCCUAGCUCCGCCAGGCGGCUCCCGCGGAUCGGGGGCCCAAAACGAAGGAGGCAGAGCUCGCGGAAGCGCUCCCAAGGGGGCAUGCUGCCCUCGUCCUGCUCAAGGGUGUAGUACCAGGUCUGUGCCGCGCCACGGAGGUGGUAAGAGGCGAGCCAGGUGCGCUCGUGCGCUGCCCGCGAAAGAACUGGUCGCACUGGUUGAGCCAGUUGAGGGGGUCUUUCGUGCCGUCAUAGGUGGCGAAGUCGAUCUUGGCGAACCGCGGCGGUGUCUGGGUCGGAGUGCCGUGUUGAGCUGGCUCGGAGGUGCGGAGCAGCGAGGCGGGUGGCGCCUGGUCGGAGUACUCCGGGUAGGGACCCGCGGAGCCGGAUGGCCUGCCGAACUGUGGAAACGGGGUCGGCUGCUUCGGAGCCGUGGUGUAGACUGGCGAUGGCGAAGACCCAGCCGCCCAAGCUGGUAGUGGCAACGGGGAGGGCGGGAACCGGACCUGUUGUAUCGGCAGGCCGGCCGGUGACGGCAGGCCGGAGCUGGGCAGAGGUGGCGCCUGGAGUUGCAUCGGCUAUUGUGGAGAGUGGGCGGACGCGGCAGUAGCCGCGGUGGCAGUAAGGGGCCACUGCGACCAGAGGGGAGCCGCGGCUGGGGGCCGCUGCAGGUGCAGCAGCGGCGGUGGCAGCCCGCUGUGGUGCCCCGCCUGGAACGGCAGUAGUGGUGUCCUGCCAAUUGCAGGCGCGCCCUGGGACGGCCACGGCAGCCAGAGCUGGACCGCGGCUGAGGGCGGCUGUAGGUGCAGCAGCGAUGGAGGCCCGCUGGUGUGUCCCACCUGGAACGGCAGCAGGGGCGUCCCGCUCGGGCCAGAUGCGUUCUGGAUCGGCCAGUGCAGCACCGGAUGGCUGUAGGCGGGGGCGCAGCCGGCGGGGUGGCGUGCGGGCUGGCCAGGUACAGGGCGAUGCCCUGGACGGCCGUCACGAGGUCCCGCAAGGUGCUGGACAUCUCCUCCGGCGUGAAGACGAGGAUCGUCGAAGGUGAUCGGGGCCGGCGGCGUUCGAGACCCGGCCAUGGUCAUCGAGGCGGUGGUGAUGAUGGGCAGCGGCGGCGUGGGUGGGGAUGACAACAUGAUCGAACCUGAGUCUCUGGAUACCAAAUUGGUAGAAACUAGGGUUCUACCCGGUCUAGGGCGUAGCCUGUAAGGAAAGGAGGGAGGAGGUCGGAGGAGAUUGUGCGGCGGCCCGCGGCUGGGCGCCGUCCUUGCGGCUGGUGCGACGGCGGCGGACACAAGUGGCGGCUAUGGUUUAGGUCUUCCGUCUCCCUAAGGGAAGCCGAGCAAAUAUUGAUUGCUUCUUGCUUGAUUAGAUUGAUACAUCUCCUCUCCUUAUAUAGAGAGGUUUACUUGACUCCUAAGCAAACGAUCCUAAUACGAUAAUAUAAUUGGGCUAAGCCCCUAAUAAUGAUUAAGAUACUUGGGCCAUAACCCACUUGGCUAAGCCCCUAAUAUGCUGGUCAUAACAUUAGGUUAGUAGGUCGUAGCAAAUGCAAAAUCAUGCUCAGUAAGGCCAUGUAUAGAUGUAUGCUAGUUACAUUAGCACAUACAUACAUGGAGAAUUAAUUUACCAAUAAUGUCAAGUGCUACCUUCUGCCUUUAAUUGCAACUGAAAAAGCUCUGCUCUGAAAGUAUGGUUGUGAUCAAUCACCUGUUCCGUUGUCUUUUUCUUCUCAAACUUGAAAAAAAAAACAUGUGAUUUUGCUCAACCUGGCCAUCAUAAAACCAAAUACAUCGACCAAUCAUGUCUUUAAAGCAAAAGAGCACCCUCCCAAUCAAAUCUGCUACAGCAGAAAGGAACAUACACUACGUAAGAACUUGGAAGAAGGAACAAAUUAAUUAGGCCAGGAACCAUAUCUUACAGCAGGCCAAGUAAAAGGGUGUAGUCGUGUUGGACGCCAUAGCAGGCAAGCGGACCACCACCGAUAUGCGGUACCAUGACAUGACCAUGCUCUUGACCUACAGCACAGUCGUCGCGCCGUCCUCCUCGAUCUGCGGGGCUUCCCUCCUCGCCGUCAAGCCGAUGGUAUAUAUAUUUGUUAAAAGACCUUGAGAAUAUUAGUAAGUGGGCUUAUUCAUUGAAACAGAUAAAUAGAUAAGUAAUAAUCGCUUCAACUUUGAAUGGAAGUCAAAGGUAAGGUACUGGUUAACAUCCUACAAGAUGAUAAUCACAAAUAGGAAUAGCUACACACACAGAGAGAGACCAUGAGAAUAUCAGUAAGUGGGCUUCAACCCAAAGGCGUUUUUCUCGCAUCAAUAUUGGAAUCCACUGCACUGAUUGCCUUCUCUGUAUGUCUUUAGCAUAUUUGCUAGCACUGAAAUCUAUAGGGAAAAUUUUAUGACGCAGACUAUGAAAGAAAAGCAUGAAGCACAGUACAACAUAAUUAGCUCACCGCUUCGUAUGAUC
This 3776-nucleotide long non-coding RNA is filed under the name Triticum aestivum (bread wheat). RNAcentral describes it as "long non-coding RNA (TAES_LNC026146)". The record is from RNAcentral. Lineage: Eukaryota; Viridiplantae; Streptophyta; Magnoliopsida; Poales; Poaceae.